Molecule: transfer RNA, 89 nt
Filed under: Kitasatospora indigofera
Lineage: Bacteria; Bacillati; Actinomycetota; Actinomycetes; Kitasatosporales; Streptomycetaceae
Description: tRNA-Pro
Source: RNAcentral
GCCCGGUCGGCGUGCGGCGACCGCCGCCCGGUCGGGCCGGUCAGGUCGAUCGCCGCACUUCACGGGCCGUUCGACGCGGCCGGCGGGCC